GUUGUUUUGGCAGAUUAGUGCGAUAGAUUUAGAAUCUUUUAAGGUAAGGAUUUACAGGCAACA
Molecule: transfer RNA, 63 nt
Filed under: Trigonopterus triradiatus
Lineage: Eukaryota; Metazoa; Arthropoda; Insecta; Coleoptera; Curculionidae
Description: tRNA-Leu
Source: RNAcentral